GGGGAAUUAGUAUAAUGGUUAGUACACUAUAUUUACACUAUAGUAGUGGUGGUUCGAUUCCAUCAUUCCCUA
This 72-nucleotide transfer RNA is filed under the name Trichosporon asahii var. asahii CBS 8904. It matches the Rfam family "tRNA". From Rfam's summary of the family: Transfer RNA (tRNA) molecules are approximately 80 nucleotides in length. Their secondary structure includes four short double-helical elements and three loops (D, anti-codon, and T loops). Further hydrogen bonds mediate the characteristic L-shaped molecular structure. tRNAs have two regions of fundamental functional importance: the anti-codon, which is responsible for specific mRNA codon recognition, and the 3' end, to which the tRNAs corresponding amino acid is attached (by aminoacyl-tRNA synthetases). tRNAs cope with the degeneracy of the genetic code in two manners: having more than one tRNA (with a specific anti-codon) for a particular amino acid; and 'wobble' base-pairing, i.e. permitting non-standard base-pairing at the 3rd anti-codon position. The record is from Rfam by way of RNAcentral. RNAcentral also lists the same sequence under 1 other name. Lineage: Eukaryota; Fungi; Basidiomycota; Tremellomycetes; Trichosporonales; Trichosporonaceae.